CCCUGCCCAUUGUGAUCUGAUCGCUCAAGCUAUGGUACGGAAAAUCUUCAAAUUCUUCUAGUCUCUCAUACUUAUGUAGUAAAUUGAUUUCCUGCUUAAUCGCUGUAAAUUUUAGUUGUUCAACUCUGCAAACUGAAGGUGCUCUGGUCCGUGGUAGCCUGGUAGGAGUCACAUCAAUAGAAAAAUCUUCUGAACAUUGGGCGUACAUACAGUUUGCAUUUUCGCUCGGUUUGAUUGCUUCUCGGUUGGGUUGCUUGUUGUUUACAGAUCGUGGGGAGAAAUGAAAAACUAUCAGCCUGGAUGGUGCUCCAUCGUGUCUGGCGUACAACCUGUUGCGUGGCAAUGACGGCUUUGCGGGGCGGCAAUGUUGGCACUGGGCGCCGGCGACCACCUUUGGCUCUGCUCCUUGUCACCGUUUUGCCAUUCGUCCUCGCGUGUGGCCCUCGCGGCAAAACUCUAGACAUCAGGUGGGGAUUGGUGACCAUCGCCGUUGUUGCCUUGGAGCUACCAGCGCACGAUUCCACCUCUGACAUUUCAUGCCCGAUUGCUAUUUAUUGGACUCAUUCCACUUGAUCUCAAGUGAUGCGAUCAUACAGGUCUGUCUAGGCGCCUCCCUUGUCUGUUUGUAGUUGCUUUCUGGCAAGUAGUACAAAUUGGUCUAGCCACAGCCCACAGCCGCACCUGUGCCCUUGCAUUCAAACAAAUGGAAUUAAGAUUCGAAGUUAGUAGAAAACUGAUAACAUGUUCAGAAUUUUCACAUCGCACAACCAAGUAAAAUCCGAUAGAGAGGGGACACGAAAAUGGCGCAUCCAUGUUUUGAUUGCAUCCGUGUAUUCAACAAUCACAUAGCAUGUUAUGUUUCACCCGGAAAAUAAAAAAUAAAAGAUCACAGAACAUAUUUUACUUUAAAUUUCUUCAUUACCUUAGUGAAUUAGAGAAUAGAACAAUAAUGUAUCUUUUGUUGUGAGCAUGAUUGCAUGAAUAGUACAUCUAGUUCAGCAAAAAAAGGAUCAGGAGAAAAUAUUUGAUAGUUGGAAACCAACUAUAUGAGUUAUAAUAUUCAAAUAUGCUAAUUAUUUGCUUAAUGAAAUUCUCACUAUAUAUAUUCAGAAGUAUAACAGAGUUACAUAGGUGUUACCCUGCUGAUUUGGCUCUACUGAUUUUCUUAUUUCUGCCAUCUGGCAGUUCUUAUCUAAUAAUGGCUAUCAUUUGCCAUUGAUAAUAUUAUCUCAUAGUUUAAUUCUGCCCAUAGCGCAGGAUUUGAUUUCAUUCACCGUCCAUUAUUUAGCUACUUCAACGUCCUACUAGCCUUGCUAUCUCUAAGGGGAAACAUAAAUGUCGAAUGAUGUUGCCAUUCCUGACACUGAAAAAUGGUCAUGUUAUGACCGGUUUGGUCUAUACUAGGAAAAGGCCCACCGGGCAUUAGUAUUAGGCGCUUGGCCCACAAGUUAUCUUAGGCAAGUUAUCUUAGGCUAAAGUUAUAAAUACUCGUGUAAGACAUCGUUUGAGAUCAAGCAAUAAGAAGAAUAUUGUCUCCUAUUGCCCGGCUCCCUGAGGAGCCGGAAACCCUAGCCGCCAACAGCUCUAACCGCCGCCGCCCUUCUCCUAGCUCGCGACAGCGCCCUGCCGCCGACGCGCCCGUUCCUCGCCAUGCCCUCCUCCAUCCUUCCCUUACCACCUACGGCCUAGACCUGGUAGAGUACUUGAUUCUACCAAUUUGGUAUCCAGAGACACCAGGCCGAUCAUGUCACUCCAUCCAUCACCGCCGCCGUUACCAUCCACCUCCGUUCCGCUCUCGCUGCCGCCGGCCACUUCCACGGCGAUGACGGAGAUCGCGUCCGGGACCACCGCCCCCUCCGCGCCAGUGGCCAUCACCACUACGGGGGAUCCGCCCCCGCUCCUCUCACCAACGAAGGUGUCGGGCACCCUGCGGGAGCUUGUCCAGGCGGUCAGGUGUUGGGGAACGUAGCAGAAAUUCAAAAUUUUCUACGCAUCACCAAGAUCAAUCUAUGGAGUAAUCUAGCAACGAGGGGAAGGAGAGUGCAUCUACAUACCCUUGUAGAUCGCUAAGCGGAAGCGUUCAAGUGAACGGGGUUGAUGGAGUCGUACUCGUCGUGAUCCAAAUCACCGAUGAUCCUAGUGCCGAACGGACGGCACCUUCGUGUUCAACACACGUACAGCCCGGUGACGUCUCCUACACCUUGAUCCAGCAAGGGGAGAAGGAGAGGUUGGGGAAGACUCCAUCCAGCAGCAGCACGACGGCGUGGUGGUGGUGGAGGAGCGUGGUACUCCAGCAGGGCUUCGCCAAGCACCGCAAGAGACGAGGAGGGAGAGGGGUAGGGCUGCGCCAAGAAGGAGAUUGAAUCGUGUCUAUGGCAGCCCAAAACCUCACGUAUAUAUAGGGGGAGGAGAGGGGCUGCGCCCCCACCUAGGUUUCCACCCCUAGGGGUGGCGGCCAGCCCUAGAUUCCAUCUAGGGGGGCGGCCAAGGGGGAAGAGAGGGGGGCGCACCACUAGGUGGGCCUUAGGCCCAUCUGAGCCUAGGGUUUUGCCCCCUUCCACUCUCCCUUGCGCCUUGGGCCUUGGAGGGGGGGCGCACCAGCCCACCAGGGGCUGGUCCCCUCCCACACUUGGCCCAUGCAGCCCUCCGGGGCUGGUGGCCCCACUUGGUGGACCACCGGGACCCUCCCGGUGGUCCUGGUACAUUACCGAUAAAACCCAAAACUUUUCCGGCGACCAAAACAGGACUUCCCAUAUAUAAAUCUUUACCUCCGGACCAUUCCGGAACUCCUCGUGACGUCCGGGAUCUCAUCCAGGACUCCGAACAACAUUCGGUAACCACGUAUAUCUAUUCCCUAUAACCCUAGCGUCAUCGAACCUUAAGUGUGUAGACCCUAUGGGUUCGGGAACCAUGCAGACAUGACCGAGACGUUCUUCGGUCAAUAACCAACAGCGGGAUCUGGAUACCCAUGUUGGCUCCCACAUGCUCCACGAUGAUCUCAUUGGAUGAACCACGAUGUCAAGGACUUAAUCAACCCCGUAUACAAUUCCCUUUGUCUAGCGGUACGAUACUUGCCCGAGAUUCGAUCGUCGGUAUCCCGAUACCUUGUUCAAUCUCGUUACCGGCAAGUCUCUUUACUCAUUCCGUAACACAUCAUCCCGUGAUCAACUCCUUGAUCACAUUGUGCACAUUAUGAUGAUGUCCUACUGAGUGGGCCCAGAGAUACCUCUCCGUUUACAAGGAGUGACAAAUCCCAGUCUCGAUUCGUGCCAACCCAACAGACACUUUCGGAGAUACCUGUAGUGUACCUUUAUAGCCACCCAGCUACGUUGUGACGUUUGGCACACCCAAAGCACUCUUACAGUAUCCGGGAGUUGCACAAUCUCAUGGUCUAAGGAAAUGAUACUUGACAUUAGAAAAGCUUUAGCAUACGAACUACAUGAUCUUGUGCUAGGCUUAGGAUUGGGUCUUGUCCAUCACAUUAUUCUCCUAAUGAUGUGAUACCGUUAUCAACGACAUCCAAUGUCCAUAGUCAGGAAACCGUAACCAUCUAUUGAUCAACGAGCUAGUCAACUAGAGGCUUACUAGGGACAUGGUGUUGUCUAUGUAUCCACACAUGUAUCUGAGUUUCCUAUCAAUACAAUUCUAGCAUGGAUAAUAAACGAUUAUCAUGAACAAGGAAAUAUAAUAAUAACCAAUUUAUUAUUGCCUCUAGGGCAUAUUUUCAACAGUAUCCCACUUACACUAGAGUCAAUAAUCCAGUUCACAUCGAUAUGUGAUUAACACUCAAGGUCACAUCCCCAUGUGACUAACACCCAAAGAGUUCUGGGUUUGAUCAUGUUAUGCUUGUGUGAGAGGUUUCAUUCAACGGGUCUGCAACAUUCAGAUCCGUAUGUACUUCACAAAUUUCUAUGUCAUCUUGUAGAUGCAACUACUACGCUACAUUUGGAGCCAUUUCAAAUAACUGUUCUACUUGGAGCUAUUCUAAAUUGUUGCUCCAUUAUAGUAUCCGGUAUCUCUACUCAGAGCUAUCCGGAUAGGUGUUAACCUUGCAUCAACGUAACUUUUUACGUCGAACUCUUUAUCACCUCCAUAACCGAGAAACAUAUCCUUAUUCCUCUAAGGAUAAUUUAGACCGCUAUCUGGUGAUCUACUCCUAGAUUACCUUUGUACCCUCUUGCCAGAUAUGUGGCAAGGCACACAUCAGGUGCGGUACUCAGCAUGGCAUACCGUAUAGAGCCUAUGACAAAAUCAUACGGGACGACCUUCGUCCUUCCUCUUUCUUCUGCCGUGGUCGAGCUUUAAGUCUUAACUUCAUACCUUACAACUCAGGCAAGAACUCCUUCUUUGACUGAUCCAUCUUGAACACCUUCAAGAUCAUGUCAAGGUAUGUGCUCAUUUGAAAGUACCAUUAAGCGUUUUGAUCUAUCCUUAUAGAUCUUGAUGCUCAAUGUUCAAGUAUCUUAAUCCAGGCUUUCCAUUGAAAAACACUUUCCAAAUAACCCUAUAUGCUUUCCAGAAAUUCUACGUCAUUUCUGAUCAACAAUAUGUCAACAGCAUAUAUUCAUCAGAAAUUCUAUAGUGCUCCCACUCACUUCUUUGGAAAUACAAGUUUCUCAUAAACUUUGUAUACACCCAAAAUCUUUGAUCAUCUCAUCCAAGCAUACAUUCCAACUACGAGAUGCUUACUCCAGUCCUUAGAAGGAUUGCUGGAGCUUUGCAUACUUGCUAGCAUCUUUCAGGAUUGACAAAACCUUCCGGUUGUAUCACAAACAAACUUUCCUCAAGAAAAUAGUCAAGGAAACAAUGUUUUGACAUCCUAUCUGCAAGAUUUCAUAAAUAAUGCAGUAAUCGAUAAUAUAAUUCCAACAGACUCUUAGCAUCACUACGAGUGAGAAAGUCUCAUCGUAGUCAACUCCUUGAACUUGUCGGAAAACAUCUUAACGAUAAGUCGAGCUUUCUUAAUGGUGAUACAUACCAUCAUUGUCCGUCUUCCUUUUAAAAUCCAUAUGUACCUAACAGCCUUACGACCAUGAAGUAGUUCUUUCAAUGUCUACACUUUGUUUUCAUAUAUGGAUCCUCUCUCGGAUUAUAUGGCCUCGAGCCAUUUUGUAAUCCAGACCCACCAUCGCUUCUCCAUAGCUCGUAGGUUCAUUGUUGUCUAGCAACAUGACUUCCAAGACAGGAUUACGUACCACUCUGAAGUAGUACGCAUCCUUGUCAUCCCACGAGGUUUGGUAGUGACUUGAUCUGAAGCUUUAUGAUCACUAUCAUAAGCUUCCACUUCAAUUGGUGUAGGUGCCACAGGAACAACUCCCUGUGCCCUGCCACACACUAGUUGAAGAGAUGGUUCAAUAACCUCAUCAAGUCUCCACCAUCCUCCCACUCAAUUCUUUCGAGAGAAACUUUUCCUCGAGAAAGGACCCAAUUCUAGAAACAAUCCCUUAUUGCUUUCAGAUCUGAGACAGGAGGUAUACCCAACUGUUUUGGGUGUCCUAUGAAGAUGCAUUUAUCCGCUUUGGGUUCGAGCUUAUCAGCCUGAAACUUUUCCACAUAAGCGUCGCAGCCCCAAACUUUUAAGAAAUGACAGCUUAGGUUUCUCUAAACCAUAGUUCAUACGGUGUCAUCUCAUCGGAAUUACGUGGUGCCCUAUUUAAAGUGAAUGUGGUUGUCUCUAAUGCCUAACCCAUAAACCAUCAUUGUAAUUCGAUAAGGGACAUCAUGGUAUGCAUCAUAUCCAAUAGGGUGCAGUUAUGAUGUUCGGACACACCAUCACACUAUGGUGUUCCAGGCUGUAUUAGUUGUGAAACAAUUUCCACAAUGUCUUAAUUCUGUGCCAAACUCGUAAUUCAGAUAUUCAUCUCUAUGAUCAUAUCAUAGAUAUUUUAUCCUCUUGCCACGAUGAUCUUUCAACUUCACCCUGAAAUUACUCGAACCUUUCAAUAAUUUAGACUCGUGAUUCAUCAAGUAAAUAUACUCAACAUCUACUCAAAUCAUCUGUGAAGUAAGAACAUAACGAUAUCCACUACACGCCUCAUCACUCAUUGGACUGCACACAUCAAAAUGUAUUACUUCCAACAAGUUGCUUUCUAGUUCCAUUUUACUGAAAACGAGGCUUUCAGUCAUCUUGCCCAUGUGGUAUGAUUUGCAUGUCUCAAGUGAUUCAAAAUCAAGUGAGACCAAACGGUCCAUUUGCAUGGAGUUUCUUCAUGCAUAUACACCAAUAGACAUGGUUCGCAUGUCUCAAACUUUUCAAAACGAGUGAGCCCAAAGAUCCAUCAACAUGGAGAUUCUUCAUGCGUUUUAUACCGAUAUGACUUACGUGGCAGUGCCACAAGUAGGUGGUACUAUCAUUACUAUCUUAUAUCUUUUGGCAUGAACAUGUGUAUCACUACGAUCGAGAUUCAAUAAACCAUUCAUUUUAGGUGAAAGACCAUUGAAGGUAUUAUUCAAAUAAACAGAGUAACCAUUAUUCUCCUUAAAUGAAUAACCGUAUUGCAAUAGACAUAAUCCAAUCAUGUCUAUGCUCAACGCAAACACCAAUCUCGAUGGUAGAGGGAGCGUGCGAUGCUUGAUCACAUCAAGCUUGGAAAAACUUCCAACACAUAUCGCCAGCUCACCUUUAGCUAGUCUCCGUUUACUCAACAGCCUUUUAUUUCGAGUUUACUUACACUUAGCAACCGAACCGGUAUCUAAUACCAUGGUGCUACUAGGAGUACUAGUAAAGUACACAUUAACACAAUGUAUAUCCAAUAUACUUCUAUCGACCUUGCCAGCCUCCUCAUCUACCAAGUAUCUAGGGUAAUUCUGCUCCAGUGGCUGUUCCCCUUAUUACAGAAGCACUUAGUCUCGGGUUUGGGUUCAACCUUGGGUUUCUUCACUAGAGCAGCAGUUGAAUUGCCGUUUCAUGAAGUAUCCCUUCUUGCCCUUGCCCUUGCCCUUCUUGAAACUGGUGGUUUCACCAACCAUCAAAUAUUGAUGCUCCUUCUUGAUUUCUACUUUUGUGGUGUCAAACAUCGUGAAUAUCUCAAGGAUCAUCAUAUAUGUCCCUGAUAUACUAUAGUUCAUCAUGAAGCUCUAGCAGCUUGGUGGUAAUGACUUCGGAGAAACAUCACUAUCUCAUCUGGAAGAUCAACUCCCACUCGAUUCAAAUGAUUGUUGUACUCAGACAAUCUGAGCACAAGCUCAACAAUUGAGCUUUUCUCCCUUAGUUUGCAGGCUAAGAAAAUCGUCGGAGGUCUUAUACCUCUUGACGUGGGCACGAGCCUGAAAUCCCAAUUUCAGCCCUCGAAACAUCUCAUAUGUUUCGCGACGUUUCAAAACGUCUUCGGUGCCUCAACUCUAAACCGUUUAACUGAACUAUCAUGUAGUUAUCAAAAUGUGUAUGUCAGAUGUUCGCAACAUCCACAGACGACAUUCGAGGUUCAGCACACUGAGCGGUGCAUUAAGGACAUAAGCCUUCUAUGAAGCAAUGAGGACAAUCCUCAGUUUACGGACCUAGUCCGCAUAAUUGCUACUAUCAUCUUUCAACUACAUUUUCUCUAGGAACAUAUCUAAACAGUAGAACUGAAGCGCGAGCUACGACAUAAUUUGCAAAGACCUUUUGACUAUGUUCAGGAUAAUUAAGUUCAUCUUAUGAACUCCCACUCAGAUAGACAUCCCUCUAGUCAUCUAAGUGAUUACAUGAUCCGAGUCAACUAGGCCGUGUCCGAUCAUCACGUGAGACGGACUAGUCAUCAUCGGUGAACAUCUUCAUGUUGAUCGUAUCUUCUAUACGACUCAUGUUCGACCUUUCGGUCUUCCGUGUUCUGAGGCCAUGUCUGUACAUGCUAGGCUCGUCAAGUCAACCUAAGUGUUUGCAUGUGUAAAUCUAUCUUACACCCGUUGUAUGUGAACGUUGGAAUCUAUCACACCCGAUCAUCACGUGGUGCUUCGAAACAACGAACUGUCGCAACGGUGCACAGUUAGGGGGAACACUUUCUUGAAAUUAUUAUGAGGGAUCAUCUUAUUUACUACCGUCAUUCUAAGUAAACAAGAUGCAAAAACAUGAUAAACAUCACAUGCAAUCAAAUAAUAGUGACAUGAUAUGGCCAAUAUCAUAUAGCUCCUUUGAUCUUCAUCUUGGGGCUCCAUGAUCAUCUUGUCACCGGCAUGACACCAUGAUCUCCAUCAUCAUGAUCUCCAUCAUCGUGUCUCCAUGAAGUUGCUCGCCAACCAUUACUUCUACUACUAUGGCUAACACGUUUAACAAUAACGUAAAGUAAUUUACAUGGCGUUUCUCAAUGACACGCAGGUCAUACAAAAAAUAAAGACAACUCCUAUGGCUCCUGCCGGUUGUCAUACUCAUCGACAUGCAAGUCGUGAUUCCUAUUACAAGAACAUGAUCUCAUACAUCACAUAUAUAUCAUUCAUCACAUCCUUUGGCCAUAUCACAUCACAAAACACUUGCUGCAAAAACAAGUUAGUCGUCCUCUAAUUGUUGUUGCAAGUUUUUACGUGGCUGCUAUAGGUUUCUAGCAAGAACGUUUCUUACCUACGCCAAAACCACAACGUGAAUUACCAGUUUCUAUUUACCCUUCAUAAGGACCCUGUUCAUCGAAUCCGAUCCGACUAAAGUGGGAGAGACAGACACCCGCCAGCCACCUUAUGCAACUAGUGCAUGUCAGUCGGUGGAACCGGUCUCAUGUAAGCGUACGUGUAAGGUUGGUCCGGGCCGCUUCAUCCCACGAUGCCGUCGAAUCAAGAUAAGACUAGUAACGGCAAGAUAAUUGACAAUAUCGACGCCCACAACUACUUUGUGUUCUACUCGUGCAUAGCAACUACGCAUAGACCUAGCUCAUGAUGCCACUAUUGGGGAACGUAGCCGAAAUUCAAAAUUUUCUAUGCAUCACCGAGAUCAAUCUAUGGAGUAAUCUAGCAACGAGGGGAAGGAGAGUGCAUCUACAUACCCUUGUAGAUCGCUCAGCGGAAGCGUUCAAGUGAACGGGGUUGAUGGAGUCGUACUCGUCGUGAUCCAAAUCACCGAUGAUCCUAGUGCCGAAUGGACGGCACCUCCGUGUUCAACACACGUACAGCCCGGUGACGUCUCCUACGCCUUGAUCCGGCAAGGGUAGAAGGAGAGGUUGGGGAAGACUCCAUCCAGCAGCAGCACGAUGGCGUGGUGGUGGUGGAGGAGCGUGGUACUCCAGCAGCGCUUCGCCAAGCACCGCAAGAGACAAGGAGGGAGAGGGGUAGGGCUGCGCCAAGAAGGAGAUUGAAUCGUGUCUAUGGCAGCCCAAAACCUCAAGUAUAUAUAGGGGAGGGGAAGGGCUACGCCCCCACCUAGGUUUCCACCCCUAGGGGUGCCGGCCAGCCCUAGAUCCCAUCUAGGGGGGCGGCCAAGGGGGAAGAGAGGGGGGCACACCACUAGGUGGGCCUUAGGCCCAUCUGAGCCUAGGGUUUUGCCCCCUUCCACUCUCCCUUGCGCCUUGGGCCUUAGUGGGGGGGGGGGGGAGGGGCGCACCAGCCCACCAGGGGCUGGUCCCCUCCCACACUUGGCCCAUGCAGCCCUCCGGGGCUGGUGGCCCCACUUGGUGGACCACCGGGACCCUCCCGGUGGUGCCGGUACAUUACCGAUAAAACCCGAAACUUUUCCGGCGACCAAAACAGGACUUCCCAUAUAUAAAUCUUUACCUCCGGACCAUUUCGGAACUCCUCGCGACGUCCGAGAUCUCAUCUGGGACUCCGAACAACAUUCCGUAACCACAUAUAUCUAUUCCCUAUAACCCUAGCGUCAUCGAACCUCAAGUGUGUAGACCCUACGGGUUCUGGAACCAUGCAGACAUGACCGAGACGUUCUCCGGUCAAUAACCAACAGCGGGAUCUGGAUACCCAUGUUGGCUCCCACAUGCUCCACGAUGAUCUCAUCGGAUGAACCACGAUGUCAAGGAUUUAAUCAAUCCCGUAUACAAUUCCCUUUGUCUAGCGGUACGAUACUUGCCCGAGAUUCGAUCGUCGGUAUCCCGAUACCUUGUUCAAUCUCGUUACCAGCAAGUCUCUUUACUCGUUCCGUAACACAUCAUCCCGUGAUCAACUCCUUGAUCACAUUGUGCACAUUAUGAUGAUGUCCUACCGAGUGGGCCCAGAGAUACCUCUCCGUUUACACGGAGUGACAAAUCCCAGUCUCGGUUCGUGCCAACCCAACAGACACUUUCGGAGAUACCUGUAGUGUACCUUUAUAGCCACCCAGUUACGUUGUGACGUUUGGCACACCCAAAGCACUCCUACGGUAUCCGGGAGUUGCACAAUCUCAUGGUCUAAGGAAAUGAUACUUGACAUUAGAAAAGCUUUAGCAUACGAACUACAUGAUCUUGUGCUAGGCUUAGGAUUGGGUCUUGUCCAUCACAUUAUUCUCCUAAUGAUGUGAUCCCGUUAUCAACGACAUCCAAUGUCCAUGGUCAGGAAACCGUAACCAUCUAUUGAUCAACGAGCUAGUCAACUAGAGGCUUACUAGGGACAUGGUGUUGUCUAUGUAUCCACACAUGUAUCUGAGUUUCCUAUCAAUACAAUUCUAGUAUGGAUAAUAAACGAUUAUCAUGAACAAGGAAAUAUAAUAAUAACCAAUUUAUUAUUGCCUCUAGGGCAUAUUUCCAACAUCAGGGGUAUGACCCUCUACCUCGCCGGGAACCAGCCCCCACCACCGAGCGCCGUCACCACCGCCAACGGACCGCCGCCGCUACAGUAGGCCGCCCCGGCCCUCCAGGCGCCCUCCACAGGGGCGCCCCAGCCGCCGCUGCUGCUGCCGCACUACUCGGCGGCGGGACAGCCUUGGCCAGCGUGGUCGGCCUCCACCGCGCCGCUGGGGGGCCCGACCUAGCAGUUUCUUCCGACGCCACCGCCGCCCCCCUCGACGCAGGCGCCGGUGCAGCAGCUCCACCCGGCGCUACCGCCAUCGUCAGCACCACCACCCGCGUCUCGGGCCACGGAUCGGCCCCUGCACCAGGUGCAGUUUCCACCGUCACCAUCGCCGAUCCCCGCGUGGGCGACCGGCUCGUCUCCGGGCCAGGUAUACUCCACGGCGCCGGACCACCCGACGCCCUCGCUACGAUUCGAUCACCCUCCAGCUCAGCGAACUACGCCCCGGCGCUUUCCGAACCGGCAUACGCGCUGCCGGCGACUGUGGCCGCCCCCGGGCACGGCGGGCCGCCACCCCCUCGCUUCGCCAAGCUGGACUUCGCCACCUACGAGGGCACGGACGACCCCCUCAACUGGCUCAACCAGUGCGAGUAGUUCUUUCGAGGGCAACGGACACUCGCUUCGGAUCAUACCUGGCUCACUUCCUAUCAUCUUCGAGGCGCAGCACAAACUUGGUACUACGCUCUCGAGCAGGACGAGGGCGGCAUGCCACCAUGGGAGCGCUUCCGGGAGCUUUAUCUCCUCCGCUUUGGGCCUCCUAUCCGCGGGAGCCGACUGGCGGCCCUCGGUCGUCUACCUUUCACAUCUACGGUGCAGGACUACGCUGACCGCUUCCAGGCCCUGGCGUGCCACGCGCUGGGCGUCUCCGCGACCCAGCGCACCGAGCUCUUUGUGGGCGGCCUGCUGGACCAUAUUCGCGUGGACGUCGAGCUCCGGGACCCCCCGACCUCCAGACGGCCAUGUACUACGCCCGGGCCUUCGAGCAGCGGGCCCAGGCACUGCAGCAGCCACUCGGACGGAACGGCCGCCAGCCCAGUCGGCCCGCUCUGACUCCCCCAGCCCCAGGUCGGCCUCCUCCAGCCGCGACGGCCACACCCCCGGCCGCCACACGACCUUUCCGUCGGUUGUCACCGGCCGAGCAACAGGAGCGCCGCCGUUAGGGUCUCUGCUUCAACUGCGAUGAGCCAUACACGCCGACCCAUGUCUGCCCCCGCCUAUUUUAUUUGGAGACGGUCGACUACACUGAGGUGGACGACUCGCCCGACGCACUACCUCCACCAGCGGCGCCCGAGGACGCGGCCACGGAUCCCGCGGCGACGGCGUGCGUCGUCUCCCUUCAUGCGCUGGCCGGCAUCCGGGGCGAGCGGACCAUGCUGCUGCCUGUGAUGAUACAUGGCGCGUGCCUAGUGGCCCUGCUGGAUACGGGCUCCACUCACAACUUUCUGCCCGAGUCGACCAUGCGUCGACUAGCCCUUCCGAUGACAGGCGGGGAGCACCUGCGGAUCACGGUGGCGAACGGCGAUCGCCUCCGGUGCCAUGGACUCGCCCGCAACGUUCCCAUCUCCAUCGGCGGCGAACACUUCUCCAUCACCUCGGCUGCUUCGACUUCAUUCUCGGGGUGGACUUCCUCCGGACCCUCGGCCCCAUCCUGUGGGAUUUCGAUGCGCUCCCGAUGACAUUUUGGCGGCAGGGCCGCCGCAUCCGGUGGGAGGGCCUUGGGGGCGUCGCGCCGGCCGUGCCACACCUCUAGUUGGCCGCCACGUCCUCGGAGGCCGAGCACCCCCUGCUGGAUUCCCUUCUGCAGCAGCACAACAACCUCUUCGACGAGCCGUAGGGUCUUCCAGCUGCCCGGGUGUACGACCAUCAUAUUCACCUCAUACCGGGCUCCACUCUGGUGGCGGUGCGGCCCUACCGCUACCCCUAGCUGCAGAAGGAUGAGUUGGAGCGCCAGUGUGCACUGAUGCUCGCCGCGGGCAUCAUCCGGAUCUCCAUGUCGCCCUUCUCGGUGUCGGUGCUUCUCGUCCGUAAGUCGGACGGCACAUGGCGCUUCUGCAUCGACUACCGCUCCCUCAACGCGCUCACGCUCAAGGACAAGUUCCCUAUACCGGUGGUCGACGAGCUCUUGGAUGAGCUCCACGGGGCGCGCUUCUUCACCAAGCUCGAUCUCCGGUCAGGCUAUCAUCAGGUGCGCAUGCAUCCGGACGACAUCGCCAAGACAACAUUUCGCACCCACCAUGGUAACUUCGAGUUCUUGGUGAUGCCCUUCGGCCUCGCCAACGCCCCGGCGACGUUCCAUGCCCUGAUGAAUGACGUCCUUUGACCCUACUUACGGUGGUUUGUGCUUGUUUUCUUUGAUGACAUUCUUCUCUACAGCGCCACCUGGGCCGAGCAUCUCUAGCACGUCGCCAUCAUCUUCAACGAGCUUCGGGCGCACCACCUCCACCUUAAGUGCUCGAAGUGCUCGUUCGGGACGCCUACCGUCGCCUACCUCGGCCAUGUCAUCUCGGCCGACGGGGUGGCUAUGGACGCCGAUAAGGUAGUGGCCGUCUCCGCAUGGCCAACGCCUCACUCGCCGCGGGCUCUCCGCGGGUUCCUCAGACUCGCCGGCUACUACCGGGAAUUUAUCCGGGAGUUCGGACUCAUCGCGGCGCCCCUCACACAGUUGCUUCGCCGCGACGCCUUCGCCUGGGACGACGAGGCGACGACGGUGUUCGAGACCCUCAAGGAGGCCCUCACGACGGGCCCUGUCCUCCAAAUGCCAGACUUUGACCGCCCGUUUGUGGUGGACUGUGACACCUCGGGCACCGGUUUCGGCGCCGUACUUCAUCAGGGCGAUGGGCCCCUCGCUUUCUUCAGUCGGCCUUUCGCGCCGCGCCAUCUUAAGUUGGCAGCUUACGAGCGGGAGCUCAUUGGCCUCGUCCAGGCCGUGCGUCAUUGGCGACCAUACUUGUGGGGGCGGACCUUCCAUAUUCGCACGGACCACUACAGCCUGAAGUUCUUGCUGGAUCAACGGUUGUCGACCGUUCCGCAGCACCAGUGGAUCAGCAAGCUCUUCGGCUUUGACUUCUCCAUCGAGUAUCGGCCGGGCCAUCUUAACACCGUGGCCGACACGCUGUCCCGUCGCGAUUCUGACCUCGCGCCACCCGCCGACGCGUCCGCCGGGACGGCCCUGUGCAUCCGCUCCGGGCCAUCGUUCGGUCUCUUCGCCGACAUUUGCCGCGCCACUGCGACGGUCGAUGACGCCGCACUUCUUUAGCAGCAGCUCGCGGGCGGGGACUUGGAGGAGCCCUGGCGCUUCUCUGACAGACUGCUCCUCCAUGGGCGCCGGAUCUUUGUUCCGGCUCAUGAUGAUCUCCGUCACCAGGUGUUACAACUCGCCCACUCGGCGGGCCAUGAGGGUGUGCAGAAAACCCUCCAUCGUCUUCACGCCGACUUCUACAUCCCUGGCGAUCGUGCCUUGGUCCGCGACUGGGUUCGGUCUUGUCAGACUUGCCAGCGCAACAAGACAGAGACCCUGAGGCCGGCUGGGCUCCUUCAGCCCUUGGAAGUGCAGUCUCAGGUCUGGGUGGAUAUCUCCAUGGACUUCAUCGAGGGCCUUCCCAAGGUGGGGGGCAAGUCGGUCAUCCUCACGGUGGUCGAUCGCUUCUCUAAGUACGCCCACUUCAUUGCGCUCGGCCAUUCGUACACGGCGGCGUCCGUGGCCCGGGCCUUCUUCGACGGCAUCGUCCGUCUACACGGGUUCCCUACUUCGAUUGUCUGUGAUCGGGACCCAGUCUUCACGGGCCAUGUCUGGCGCGACCUCUUCAGGAUGGCAGGUGUCCAGCUCCGCCUGAGUACGGAAUUCCAUCCUUAGACGGACGGUCAGUCUAAGGUGGUUAACAAGUUCAUUGCCAUGUAUUUGUGUUGUGUGACAGGUGAUCGGCCUCGAGCUUGGGUGGACUGGCUCUCUUGGGCGGAGUACUGCUACAACACCUCUUAUCACUCCGCCCUGCGCACGACGCCAUUUGAGGUGGUCUAUGGUCGACCACCCCCACCUAUACUUCCGGUCGACCCGGAGACGGCUCGGACGGCGGUUGCGGGUGACCUUAUCCGCACCCGUGAUGAGAUGCUGGCUGAGGUCCGUCAGCGUCUACUUCAGGCCCAGCAGACGGCCAAGCACUACUACGACGAUCCUCAUCGCGAGGCAGAGUUCACAGUGGGUGACUGGGUGUGGCUGCGUCUUCUCCACCGCUCUACGCAGUCACUAGACCCGCGCGCAAAGCGCAAGCUCGGCCCUCGCUACGCCGGGCCCUUCCCUAUCAUGGAGCGCAUCAGGAAGGUGGCCUAUCGUCUUCAGCUUCCAGCCCGCGCUCGCAUCCACGGCGUGUUCGAUGUGGGGCUUCUCAAGCCUUUCCGUGGCGAGCCACCGGCGGCCCCUCCGGCGCUUCCUCCAACCGCCGAUGGUCGCAUUCUUCCAGAGCCAGCAAAGGUUUUGUCGGCCCAGCUCCGUCGUGGCAUCUGAUUCGUCUUAAUUCAGUGGGCAGGCCUUCCAGAGGAGGAGGCUACUUGGGAACAGCGUGAGCAAUUCCGUCAACACUAUCCAGACUUUCAGCUCGAGGACGAGCUGUUUGCGCAGGCGGGGAGAGAUGUUAUGACCGGUUUGGUCUAUACUAGGAAAAGGCCCACCGGGCAUUAGUAUUAGGGGCUUGGCCCACAAGUUAUCUUAGGCAAGUUAUCUCAGGCAAGUUAUCUUAGGCUAAAGUUAUAAAUACUCGUGUAAGACAUCGUUUGAGAUCAAGCAAUAAGAAGAAUAUUAUCUCCUAUUGCCCGGCUCCUUGAGGAGCCGGAAACCCUAGCCGCCAACAGCCCUAACCAUCGCCGCCCUUCUCCUAGCUCGCGACGGCGCCCUGCCGCCGGCGCUCCCGUUCCUCGCCACACCCUCCUCCAUCCUUCCCUUACCACCUACGGCCUAGACCUGGUAGAGUACUUGAUUCUACCAGGUCAUGUUUUUCAUGCCCAACAGGUGUUACCUUCGAUAAAGCAUGCAAACCAUUUACUAUAUCUUUGUCCAUUUUAGGGGAGAGCAUUUCAAAGGAAUCAUGGACUGGAGGUGUAAGUUACAUGACAAGCUAUUUUGCUCACGCGGUUUGAUGAAAAAAUUCAUGAAGUCCAAUUCCCUGUUUAUUUGGCUCAUGAUUAAUGUUUUUUUAACUUCCAAAUGUUGGCUAGCAAUUGAUAUUCUAUGAUUAAACAUGUCAUAAUACAUUGAUUUAUUGUCACUGUUACAUUUGAUAAUUUAUAAUCACAUAAAUGAACUUAAAUUGUUCCGGGCCUGGCAUGUUUAGCAUUUGUUUACAUUACAGUACAAUGAAUAUAUGAUGGAAACAACAUCGCAAGCUCACUCAGCACUAUUGGCCGGCACAGCAAAACAUGGAUACGCUUCUAGUUUACAUGACGAGUACUUCAUUUGUUUGCAUCGUGCAUGCAUGUUUAGCGUUCAAAAUAAAAUAUUAUGUUGUAACAAAACCUUAAUCUAAUGAUACCAAAAGUACAUGUAGAAUAAGGCUACUUAGUGCAUUCCUAGUACAUGAUAUCGGAACUCCUGGAAAUUAUCAUUCUUGAGCUGAUUAUGUGUCUCCAUUCACACCUCUUCCUAUUUAAUUGCAGAAUGCUCAUACUGAAAAUAGCAAUGCAGCCAAGUUAGGUGGUCUUCACCAAGUCACUAAGCAGGUACAUAUAUGCUAGGUAUCCAAACGGUUGUAUAAUUGUAGUUGGUCUAAUUCUCUAUGAAAUUGUCCUUCUUUGCGUAAAGUGAAAUCUUCUCAGUUUUAUGAAUAACAAAUGUUUCAUUUCUUGCAAAAAUGGGAUAAAACUGAAGUCAUGUUCUUUUCAAUCAAUUUGAGAAGCAAAAACAAACCCGUGACCAAUGGAAUUUUAGGGGGUAAAGAUAGAACAUAUGUGGUUGAAGGAGACAUGCUUGGAGAGAAGUAUGGUGCAGUCUCUGUCUGUGGCUCUACAAAUCUAGGUGAUGUGAACUGGUUAGACCAUAUGAAAAAUUCCAAACAGUAGGAGAUGUUGGUUAUGUUUUUGCUUGGCCUUGCUCACAUGUAAGUAUGUUUCCAUACAAACAUCGAGUGUGCUCCAAUAUCCACAUUUAAGAUACUUUAGUUAUCAAAAUCUUUGUGGCUUUUAGGUACAAAAAACUAUGCCAACCAUUCAAACAAAGCAUUUGUAUGAUACACUUCUUAUGAUUUAUCAAAGAACAACUUAUCUUGCACUUGCCUAAAACAUUGUUCAUUUUCAUUUUCAGGGUGGUUGAGGAUUUGAAAAGAGAGUGCAUUAAGGGAGCCAGGAGUAAUUGGGUAGUUGAGGAUUUGAAAAGGGAGUGCACUGAAGGAGGCAUGAUUAGUUGAUGAACCAGUCUGUGAAUGAACAAGUAUUGUGGCUUAUGUUAUAUUUUAGCCUAAUUGAGAAUCAUAGUUCUAGACUAUAGGAUAUUUUCUUAUUUAUUUGCAUGUUCUAUAUGAAUACCUGUUAAUAUUCAGUUGUGAAUUUCAGUGUAAGUAUCUGUUCGGGCUGAUUAUUCCAUUCAGCUUGCCUUUUUUAGGGAACUCAGCUUGUCAAUUUUGAUAACGUGAAGUUUGCAAAUGCAAUCUAUGACGUGGAAUCAUGGCUUCAUAUGAUGAU
RNAcentral lists this long non-coding RNA (17340 nucleotides) under Triticum aestivum (bread wheat). RNAcentral's name for it is "long non-coding RNA (TAES_LNC005879)". The record is from RNAcentral. Lineage: Eukaryota; Viridiplantae; Streptophyta; Magnoliopsida; Poales; Poaceae.